Colinus virginianus (northern bobwhite) is the source of this 79-nucleotide non-coding RNA. The record is from Rfam. NCBI's taxonomy places the organism in Eukaryota, Metazoa, Chordata, Aves, Galliformes, Odontophoridae.
AUGGUUGUGGCUGAGUGCUUACAGUGAUGGACUAGAAAUCCACCGGGGUCCUGUGCAGGUUUGAAUCCUGCUGGCUGUG